AGUAAAUUAUAUUAUCUUAAAUUAUGGAACCCUACGGGCUCCCAGUUUUGAAAUUUUUAAAGUUGGGAAACCAAGCAUAAGAGAUUAAUAAGUUGUGGGACUAAGAAAGUGCCAGCAGUCGCGGUCAUACUUUUUCCACAGAAUUUACUACAUCAGGGAAAUACAUCAAGAGCAAGAUAGUUUCUGUAGUGAAAUAUAUAAGUAAUAUAGACCACACAAUUGAAUAAUAAAAAACAUCGUCACGAAACAGGGAUUAGAUACCCCUUUAUUGGGUGCCACCAAUUUACCCGGGGUAUUAAAGUAUUUAUAUGCCUAAACCUAAAAGUCAUGGCGGUAACUUUAAUAUUUAGGGGAACUUAUCUAGUAAAUGAUAACCACCAAGUAUCACUACUUUAAAUUAAAUUUUGUAUGCCGUCGUCGUCAGAUACAGUACAAUACUAUAUCUGAGUAGUUCCACUAAAAAGACAGAUCAAGGUGCAGACUAUUUUAAAGAUAAGACGAGUUACAAUAGUAUAUAGCUUCAAAAGUUAUAUAAAAUAUAACUGCAGGCGGACUUAAAAGUAAAUAAAAUUAUAGAUAGUUUUUGAAUUUUGUUAAAGUUGUGCACAAAUCGCCCGUCACUCUCGAAGUUAUUUGAGAUAAGUCGUAACAUAGUAGGUGUAGCGGAAGCUGCCCCUG
Molecule: ribosomal RNA, 678 nt
Filed under: Helicella itala
Lineage: Eukaryota; Metazoa; Mollusca; Gastropoda; Stylommatophora; Geomitridae
Description: 12S ribosomal RNA
Source: RNAcentral